UCUACGGCCAUACCACCCUGAAGGAGCCCGAUCUCGUCUGAUCUCGAAAGCUAAGCAGGGUCGGGCCUGGUUAAUAUUUGGAUGGGAGACCUCCUAGGAAUACCGGGUGCUGUAGGCU
Molecule: ribosomal RNA, 118 nt
Filed under: Mus caroli (Ryukyu mouse)
Lineage: Eukaryota; Metazoa; Chordata; Mammalia; Rodentia; Muridae
Source: RNAcentral